GACGAACGCUGGCGGCGUGCUUAACACAUGCAAGUCGAACGGAAAGGCCCUGCUUUUGUGGGGUGCUCGAGUGGCGAACGGGUGAGUAACACGUGAGUAACCUGCCCUUGACUUUGGGAUAACUUCAGGUAACUGGGGCUAAUACCGGAUAGGAGCUCCUGCUGCAUGGUGGGGGUUGGAAAGUUUCGGCGGUUGGGGAUGGACUCGCGGCUUAUCAGCUUGUUGGUGGGGUAGUGGCUUACCAAGGCUUUGACGGGUAGCCGGCCUGAGAGGGUGACCGGCCACAUUGGGACUGAGAUACGGCCCAGACUCCUACGGGAGGCAGCAGUGGGGAAUAUUGCACAAUGGGCGGAAGCCUGAUGCAGCAACGCCGCGUGCGGGAUGACGGCCUUCGGGUUGUAAACCGCUUUCGCCUGUGACGAAGCGAGAGUGACGGUAAUGGGUAAAGAAGCACCGGCUAACUACGUG
This 468-nucleotide ribosomal RNA is filed under the name uncultured bacterium. Its description in RNAcentral is "partial 16S ribosomal RNA". It matches the Rfam family "Bacterial small subunit ribosomal RNA", at positions 28 to 507 of the family's 1533-position model. The record is from RNAcentral.